This 347-nucleotide ribosomal RNA is filed under the name uncultured bacterium. RNAcentral's name for it is "partial 16S ribosomal RNA". It matches the Rfam family "Bacterial small subunit ribosomal RNA", at positions 338 to 682 of the family's 1533-position model. The record is from RNAcentral.
CCUACGGGUGGCUGCAGUGAGGAAUAUUGGUCAAUGGCCGGAAGGCUGAACCAGCCAUGCCGCGUGAAGGGCAGGGCCCUAGGGGCGUUAAACUUCUUUUGUGCGGGAGCAAGAAUGGACACGUGGGGCCAGACGAGAGGACCGUACGAAUAAGCAGCGGCUAACUCCGGGCCAGCAGCCGCGGUAAUACGGGGGAUGCAAGCGUUAUCCGGAUUUCUUGGGUUUAAAGGGUGCGUAGGCUGUGAGGUAAGGCAGCGGGGAAAUGCCCCCGCUCAACGGGGUGAAGUGCCAUUGAUACUGCCUUGCUGGCCUGCGGCUGCCGUGGGAGGAUUGUGUGGUGUAGCGGU